Non-coding RNA from Coturnix japonica (Japanese quail), 575 nucleotides. The record is from RefSeq and is a predicted model, not a curated record. NCBI's taxonomy places the organism in Eukaryota, Metazoa, Chordata, Aves, Galliformes, Phasianidae.
GCUUGGUUUUUGGCAGGAUGCUCCAUUGCUGGCAUUGCCUCACAGUGCUUCCCUUCUCUCAGGGUCACCCUUCUAUAGAGUCACAAAGGGGUGACAGCUGUGACAAACCCAUACAACUUUAAAAGAAGAAUCCUCUCCCAUCUGCCUUCAGAGACGUGUCCAAUCUGUGCACAAUAGGACACUCUCUCUGACCACUUCUUGAUAAAGGAUCUUGGGAAAUGAGCCACGUUAGAAGAAAGAUGCUGAAAUAGUCCCAUGCUGCUGCAGCGGGGCAGCACCAACCCAGCACCAGCUGGAGCAACUGGUUUAAGUACGCUGCUGGUAAGACCGCAUGUACUCACACCAGAGGGAGCACAAAUCAUAAGGAGGAUGGAUCCUCAUGCUUCAAGGCUGAGCUCAGAGCAGAGGUUGCUUUUAUAAUUACACUGCAAAUCAGCUCGAAAAGAAUCCUGAAGAACAGAAAUAAACUCCUAAACUCAGAUCUCCUCUAUAAGACACAGCUGAUGUUACUGGCUGUCCUUGUGCCCUUCUGCCACGCAAGCUGGAUUUACAGGUUAGUAUUCUAAGCACGUGCU